This 160-nucleotide microRNA precursor is filed under the name Dictyostelium discoideum. RNAcentral's name for it is "microRNA ddi-mir-7103 precursor". Lineage: Eukaryota; Evosea; Eumycetozoa; Dictyosteliales; Dictyosteliaceae. The record is from miRBase by way of RNAcentral.
AAUUUAUGAUAAUAUGAUAACGAAUCAAUAUUUAGACAAUCUGUCAAAAGAUUUGAUAAGGAUUUAUUCAAAUAUUAUAUUAUAUUUGAAUAAAUCCUUAUCAAAUCUUUAAAUAGAUUGUCUAAAUAUUGAUUCAUUAUCAUAUAAUCAGCUUUGGAUA